RNAcentral lists this ribosomal RNA (314 nucleotides) under Fimbriimonadaceae bacterium. RNAcentral describes it as "partial 23S ribosomal RNA". It matches the Rfam family "Bacterial large subunit ribosomal RNA", at positions 2612 to 2925 of the family's 2925-position model. The record is from RNAcentral. Lineage: Bacteria; Bacillati; Armatimonadota; Fimbriimonadia; Fimbriimonadales; Fimbriimonadaceae.
CAGAACGGCGUGAGCCAGUUCGGUCCCUAUCCACUGUGCGCGAAGGAAAUUUGAGAGGAGUCGCUCCUAGUACGAGAGGACCGGAGUGAACUGACCUCUGGUGUACCAGUUGUUCCGCCAGGAGCACACGCUGGGUAGCCAUGUCGGGCAGUGAUAAGCGCUGAAAGCAUCUAAGCGCCAAGCACACCUCAAGAUUAGAUUUCCCACGGAAACGGUAAGGCCCCCGGAAGACCACCGGGUUGAUAGGCCGCAGGUGUAAGUGCAGCAAUGUAUUGAGCUGAGCGGUACUAAUUGGCCGAGGGCUUUUGAACCUC